This 145-nucleotide ribosomal RNA is filed under the name uncultured bacterium. Its description in RNAcentral is "partial 16S ribosomal RNA". It matches the Rfam family "Bacterial small subunit ribosomal RNA", at positions 355 to 517 of the family's 1533-position model. The record is from RNAcentral.
UGGGGAAUAUUGCACAAUGGGGGAAACCCUGAUGCAGCGACGCCGCGUGAGCGAAGAAGUAUUUCGGUAUGUAAAGCUCUAUCAGCAGGGAAGAAAAUGACGGUACCUGACUAAGAAGCCCCGGCUAACUACGUGCCAGCAGCCG